UAAACAACAUAACGAAGAUUCUUUGUCUUUUUAUUUUUAUUAAUAAAGAUAUACAACGCGUUAAAUAUAUCAUUUCUAUUACACAUUUAUUUAUCGAAAUCUGAUACCAUCUCGGUACGUCAAGCAGCAUUCGGCAUUUUCCUGUUGAAUCCACACAGCAUGGCGUUAUCAAAGCGCAUAGCUAGAUCGUGUAUUCAUCUUGGUGUCGUUCAACUGAUAUUUGGUUGUGCUGGUGUAGCAUGUGGGGCUGUAGCAAAGAGCAAAUUGACAGGCCCCGUGGGAGCAACUAUUGGAUUAUGGGCAGCAUAUUUCAUCGCUUUAGGCGUGAUUUGUCUUACUGCGGGAGUUUUUAAAGAAUCCAGAGUCCUUGGAUUUGCUCUUGUUUUUCAAGUCAUUGGCCUGUUCAUCGCAGCCGCUGGAAUAAUAAUUUCCGCCAUAUUUUGGACAUUUCUGAAUACUUGCUCGAGUUCGCUGGUUGUUGGUCCAGUUUUACCCGAUCACUGUCCUUGCGGGGUUGCUGCAGAUCUUACGGACUAUGACAUUAGUUGUUCUGAUCUGAGAACGGUGAGAAAUGUCACAGCUGCCUCCACAUUUAUCUAUUUGAUUUUGGAAAUUACUUCAUUCAUCGGUGUAAUCUAUGCUUGUGUUGGCAUAUGUUGUGCACCAAAGGAACCAAGGUCUGUUACUGUCACCACAGUUAAUUCACAUGGUGCAUCAAAUCCUGAGUCAAAACCGAUGAUUAUGACCAAAAUAUUUAGAAAGAAACAUCAACCACAGGAUGACAAAAAGAAAAAUCGCAAGCGUUGAGAAACCUCAAUCACAUGACUGCCAAACUACACUCACACGAGAUAGUCACUCUUUCGGGACAUUACAACAGAUACUUCUGACGUUCUCGAUCCUGAAUAUUCUGACGUUCUCGCUUUAUUCAAGAAAAUGUUAGGUAAGCAAAU
Molecule: unclassified non-coding RNA, 950 nt
Filed under: Dendronephthya gigantea
Lineage: Eukaryota; Metazoa; Cnidaria; Anthozoa; Malacalcyonacea; Nephtheidae
Description: uncharacterized LOC114539379, transcript variant X2
Source: RNAcentral